Molecule: ribosomal RNA, 433 nt
Filed under: uncultured bacterium
Lineage: Bacteria
Description: partial 16S ribosomal RNA
Rfam family: Bacterial small subunit ribosomal RNA
Source: RNAcentral
AACGAACGCUGGCGGCAUGCCUAACACAUGCCAGUCGAACGAGACCUUCGGGUCUAGUGGCGCACGGGUGCGUAACGCUUGGGAACCUGCCCUUAGGUUCGGAAUAACUCCCCGAAGGGGGUGCUAAUACCGGAUAAUGUCUUCGGACCAAAGAUUUAUCGCCUUUGGAUGGGCCCGCGUUGGAUUAGCUAGUUGGUAGGGUAAAAGCCUACCAAGGCGACGAUCCAUAGCUGGUCUGAGAGGAUGAUCAGCCACACUGGGACUGAGACACGGCCCAGACUCCUACGGGAGGCAGCAGUGGGGAAUAUUGGACAAUGGGCGAAAGCCUGAUCCAGCAAUGCCGCGUGAGUGAUGAAGGCCUUAGGGUUGUAAAGCUCUUUUACCCGGGAUGAUAAUGACAGUACCGGGAGAAUAAGCUCCGGCUAACUCCGUG